AGAGUUUGAUCAUGGCUCAGAACGAACGCUGGCGGCGCGUUUUAAGCAUGCAAGUCGGACGGGAUCCCUGGUGCUUGCACUGGGGUGAGAGUGGCGAACGGGUGAGUAACACGUAGAUAAUCUGCCCUGGGAUUGGGGAUAGCCUGUGGAAACACAGAGUAAUACCGAAUACGAACUAUAUAUGAGAAUGUAUAGAGGAAAGUCCCUACGGGGACGUCCUGGGAUGAGUCUGCGGCUGAUUAGCUAGUUGGUGGGGUAAGAGCCUACCAAGGCGACGAUCAGUAGCCGGCCUGAGAGGGUGAUCGGCCACACUGGGACUGAGAUACGGCCCAGACUCCUACGGGAGGCAGCAGCUAAGAAUCUUCCGCAAUGGGCGCAAGCCUGACGGAGCGACGCCGCGUGAACGAAGAAGGCCGAAAGGUUGUAAAGUUCUUUUCUUGGGGAGGAAUAACGAGGGCAGGGAAUGGCCCUUGGAUGACGUUAACCGAGGAAUAAGCCCCGGCUAAUUACGUGCCAGCAGCCGCGGUAACACGUAAGGGGCGAGCGUUGUUCGGAAUUAUUGGGCGUAAAGGGCGUGUAGGCGGACUGGAAAGUCUGGUGUGAAAAACCGCAGCUUAACUGCGGGAACGCGCUGGAAACUAUCAGACUUGAGUAUAGGAAGGGAAGCUAGAAUUCCAGGUGUAGGGGUGAAAUCUGUAGAUAUCUGGAAGAAUACCGGUGGCGAAGGCGAGCUUCUGGCCAUAUACUGACGCUGANNNGGAAAGCGUGGGGAGCGAACAGGAUUAGAUACCCUAGUAGUCC
RNAcentral lists this ribosomal RNA (801 nucleotides) under uncultured bacterium. Its description in RNAcentral is "bacterial SSU rRNA". It matches the Rfam family "Bacterial small subunit ribosomal RNA", at positions 8 to 796 of the family's 1533-position model. The record is from RNAcentral.